Molecule: long non-coding RNA, 315 nt
Filed under: Elaeis guineensis (African oil palm)
Lineage: Eukaryota; Viridiplantae; Streptophyta; Magnoliopsida; Arecales; Arecaceae
Description: long non-coding RNA (EGUI_LNC080751)
Source: RNAcentral
CAACUUUGCUCAUGUCAGGACGAGGUUUUUCUCCUGUUCCUGACAUGGCUGUGGGGGCACAUUAGGGUGUUGUAGGGCCUCUCCUCCCAUCCGAUCUAAAAGAAUCGGGCCUUUGACUUUGCUCAUGUUAGGGCGAGGUUCUCCUCCUAUCCCUAACAUGGCUGUGGGGGCGCAUUAGGAUGUUGUAGGGCCUCUCCCCCCAUCCGGUCUAAAAGAAUCGGGCCUUUGACUUUGCUCAUGUCAAAGCAAGAUUCUCCACCUGUCCCUAACAUGGCUGUGGGGGCGCAUAAGGGCGUUGUAGGGCCUCUCUCCCCA